GGGCGCUUGGUGAAGUGGUAUCACGAUUGUCUCCAAAACAAUCAUCGGGGGUUCGAUUCCCUCAGCGCCCG
This is a transfer RNA of 71 nucleotides. It matches the Rfam family "tRNA". From Rfam's summary of the family: Transfer RNA (tRNA) molecules are approximately 80 nucleotides in length. Their secondary structure includes four short double-helical elements and three loops (D, anti-codon, and T loops).